GAUGAACGCUGACAGAAUGCUUAACACAUGCAAGUCGAUGGGGAAGUGGUGCUUGCACCAUGGCAACCAUGGCGGACGGGUGAGUAACGCGUAAGGGACUUACCUGCAGGACUGGGAUAACAGGGGGAAACUCCUGACAAGACCGGAUAAUGUCAUGGAGCUGCAUGGCUUUAUGAUGAAAGGAGACGCCUGCGGAGAGCCUUGCGUCCUAUUAGCUAGUUGGUGAGGUAAUGGCUCACCAAGGCGAAGAUAGGUAGCCGGCCUGAGAGGGUGGACGGCCACAAGGGGACUGAGAUACGGCCGUUACUACUACGGGGGGCAGCAGUGGGGAAUAUUGGACAAUGGGGGCAACCCAGAUCCAGCAAUUCUGUGUGCACGAAGAAGGUUUUCGGAUUGUAAAGUGCUUUCAGCAGGGAAGAAGUAAGUGACGGUACCUGCAGAAGAAGCGACGGCUAAAUACGUG
RNAcentral lists this ribosomal RNA (463 nucleotides) under uncultured bacterium. RNAcentral describes it as "partial 16S ribosomal RNA". It matches the Rfam family "Bacterial small subunit ribosomal RNA", at positions 28 to 507 of the family's 1533-position model. The record is from RNAcentral.